Molecule: long non-coding RNA, 364 nt
Organism: Suricata suricatta (meerkat)
Lineage: Eukaryota; Metazoa; Chordata; Mammalia; Carnivora; Herpestidae
Exons: 3
Source: RefSeq, a predicted model, not a curated record
GCCCUGCUCUGCAUGAAAGAAAUUUCAGCCUUUGUGAUGAAUAUGGAGGACUUCAUUUUGGGCCAAUGAACACUCGGGCUUUAAUUCUAAGCUCAGGAAGGAACCUGAUCUGAGGACUCCUGAAUGAAGGAUAAUGAGACUGCUGUUCCUGGAACUGUCCAUCAUCGGCGGGGUCCAUGCAAGCCAACUGGAAUAUUUCCUGGGGGGAGAGCGGGCUCAUCGAGGGGUAUUCACUACGGCCACUCCUGAAAAGCAAUGGCAAAGGAGGAGGAAAUGUGGACAUGAGAGGAAAAGAGAGAAAGUCCUGUCAAAGGCACAAUUCCCACCCCAGAUACGACUUCCUUCCCAGUAAGGGCACACCCGU